AGUCCACAUCGACGGGGAGGUUUGGCACCUCGAUGUCGGCUCAUCACAUCCUGGGGCUGUAGUAGGUCCCAAGGGUUGGGCUGUUCGCCCAUUAAAGUGGUACGCGAGCUGGGUUCAGAACGUCGUGAGACAGUUCGGUCCCUAUCCGUCGCAGGCGUAGGAAAUUUGAGAAGACCUGUCCUUAGUACGAGAGGACCGGGAUGGACGUACCUCUGGUGUACCAGUUGUCCUGCCAAGGGCAUGGCUGGGUAGCUAUGUACGGAAUGGAUAAGCGCUGAAAGCAUCUAAGCGCGAAGUCAACUUCAAGAUAAGAUUUCCCACCGCAAGGGUAAGACCCCAGAAAGACUAACUGGUUGAUAGGUCGAAGGUGUAAGUGCAGCAAUGUAUUUAGCUUAUCGAUACUAAUAGGUCGAGGACUUGACCAAU
This 426-nucleotide ribosomal RNA is filed under the name Clostridioides difficile. RNAcentral describes it as "bacterial LSU rRNA". It matches the Rfam family "Bacterial large subunit ribosomal RNA", at positions 2497 to 2925 of the family's 2925-position model. Lineage: Bacteria; Bacillati; Bacillota; Clostridia; Peptostreptococcales; Peptostreptococcaceae. The record is from RNAcentral.